RNAcentral lists this ribosomal RNA (253 nucleotides) under uncultured bacterium. RNAcentral's name for it is "partial 16S ribosomal RNA". It matches the Rfam family "Bacterial small subunit ribosomal RNA", at positions 524 to 776 of the family's 1533-position model. The record is from RNAcentral.
CACGUAGGGGGCAAGCGUUGUCCGGAAUUAUUGGGCGUAAAGAGCUCGUAGGCGGCUCGGUAAGUCAGGUGUCAAAUCCUCAGGCUCAACCUGGGGCUCCACCUGAUACUGCUGUGGCUAGAGUCCGGUAGGGGAGCGUGGAAUUCCUGGUGUAGCGGUGAAAUGCGCAGAUAUCAGGAAGAACACCGGUGGCGAAAGCGCUCUGCUAGGCCGCAACUGACACUCAUGGACGAAAGCUAGGGGAGCGAAUGGG